AAACAAAUUGUUUGUAAUAUAAUGAUUUUCUUGAACAGGAAACUGCUCUUCUAUUGGUCAGAUAUUUUGACCAAUCAGGAGCAACCGCCAUUUUAGGUGGUCGAAGUAGAGGGGAAAAUAGAGGGAGAGCAGAGUCCUUCUCAAGAGAUUCAUUCUGUGUUGUGCUUUGGUACAGUGAAGUGAUCCUAAUAAAAUUAGUGUGUGU
This is a long non-coding RNA of Aricia agestis (brown argus), 205 nucleotides long. RefSeq lists it as uncharacterized. The record is from RefSeq and is a predicted model, not a curated record. The transcript is spliced from 3 exons. NCBI's taxonomy places the organism in Eukaryota, Metazoa, Arthropoda, Insecta, Lepidoptera, Lycaenidae.